This 936-nucleotide ribosomal RNA is filed under the name Pediococcus acidilactici. Its description in RNAcentral is "bacterial SSU rRNA". It matches the Rfam family "Bacterial small subunit ribosomal RNA", at positions 48 to 942 of the family's 1533-position model. Lineage: Bacteria; Bacillati; Bacillota; Bacilli; Lactobacillales; Lactobacillaceae. The record is from RNAcentral.
GCUAUACAUGCAGUCGAACGAACUUCCGUUAAUUGAUUAGGAGGUGCUUGCACUGAAUGAGAUUUUAACACGAAGUGAGUGGCGGACGGGUGAGUAACACGUGGGUAACCUGCCCAGAAGCAGGGGAUAACACCUGGAAACAGAUGCUAAUACCGUAUAACAGAGAAAACCGCCUGGUUUUCUUUUAAAAGAUGGCUCUGCUAUCACUUCUGGAUGGACCCGCGGCGCAUUAGCUAGUUGGUGAGGUAACGGCUCACCAAGGCGAUGAUGCGUAGCCGACCUGAGAGGGUAAUCGGCCACAUUGGGACUGAGACACGGCCCAGACUCCUACGGGAGGCAGCAGUAGGGAAUCUUCCACAAUGGACGCAAGUCUGAUGGAGCAACGCCGCGUGAGUGAAGAAGGGUUUCGGCUCGUAAAGCUCUGUUGUUAAAGAAGAACGUGGGUGAGAGUAACUGUUCACCCAGUGACGGUAUUUAACCAGAAAGCCACGGCUAACUACGUGCCAGCAGCCGCGGUAAUACGUAGGUGGCAAGCGUUAUCCGGAUUUAUUGGGCGUAAAGCGAGCGCAGGCGGUCUUUUAAGUCUAAUGUGAAAGCCUUCGGCUCAACCGAAGAAGUGCAUUGGAAACUGGGAGACUUGAGUGCAGAAGAGGACAGUGGAACUCCAUGUGUAGCGGUGAAAUGCGUAGAUAUAUGGAAGAACACCAGUGGCGAAGGCGGCUGUCUGGUCUGUAACUGACGCUGAGGCUCGAAAGCAUGGGUAGCGAACAGGAUUAGAUACCCUGGUAGUCCAUGCCGUAAACGAUGAUUACUAAGUGUUGGAGGGUUUCCGCUCUUCAGUGCUGCAGCUAACGCAUUAAGUAAUCCGCCUGGGAGUACGACCGCAAGGUUGAAACUCAAAGAAUUGACGGGGCCCGCACAAGCGGUGGAGCAUGU